This is a long non-coding RNA of Tachyglossus aculeatus (Australian echidna), 2128 nucleotides long. RefSeq lists it as uncharacterized. The transcript has 7 exons. NCBI's taxonomy places the organism in Eukaryota, Metazoa, Chordata, Mammalia, Monotremata, Tachyglossidae. The record is from RefSeq and is a predicted model, not a curated record.
AAGGGGUAUUAUUGGUUUCUCCUGGGUCUCCCCACCUCCCUAUUUUCCCUUCCCGUAUUUGCCUCCCUUUUUUUGCAUCCUAGACCACAGCCUCCCUACCGUCCUGCUCUGGAAUUCAUCGCCUGCCUGCCUGCCGACAGCCACCCCAGGACACGCCUGCUUCAUCAUUCCUCGGAACCUCAGCCAAGACAACUCCAGCCCCUCAUCCAUGGUGUUCCCUGGGCCAUCAGUUGUCCCCUUCUUUUCUCUGUAUCUCAUCUGUCUUCCACGCCAUCCUUCUUCUCUAGGCCCUUUCUGCUGUCUCCCAAAAAGUGUGGCUUUGCUCUCAAACCCAGUUUGUUUUUUUUAAGAAACUUCAACUCCCCACAUCGCCUGCAGGCUUCAAGGAAAGUGGAGAUGUCAGCCGGGGGUGGGUGAGGAGGGCCAGGCGGAGAGAUGCCAGCUGCACCCAAAUGCAGUGUACUAAGUGCUGGAGAGAGUGCAAUACCAAUGAAGUACAAUGAAGGAGCCGUUUUACUGUGUCUGCAUCGUCGACCUGGCAGCUGUCCCUGCAGCCCCAUAUUGCAGGGGGGAUGUGGGGGCAGCCUGGUGAGGCGGAGCAGGGAAACCGGGUGCGAGGAGGUGGGGUUGGAGGUUUGAACAACUAAGCCCCACUGCCACUAGUUCCCCCCUGAUUCUCAAGGGGAGCACCAUUUCAGGGGGGACAGUGGCAGUGCCAGGAAGGAGGGCAAAGGAGUAUUAUCAGUUUCUCCUGGGUCUCUCCCCUUCCCUGUCUUUCCCUUCUCCUCUUUACCUCCCCUUUUUUUCCAUCCUGGAACACAGCCCCCUUACUGUCCUGCUCUGGAAUUCAUCGCCUGCCUGCGCCCUCACCUCCUGCUCUGGAAGUCGUCACCUGCCUGCCGAAACCCACCCCAGGACCCGCCUGCUUCAUCAUUCCUCGGCACCUCAACCGAGACAACUCCAGCCCCUCUCCCAGGGUGUCCCCUGGGGCCUCCAGCUGUCUCUAACCUUCUCCAGCGCCCCUUCUCCCUCCUCUCUUCUCUCCACCUCCCCCACCCAGGACACACACACAUUUCCAGGAAUAAUUCAUAAAAAUGUAUUAACUUCAGUUUCUAGCCUGAGGAACCCCCCUCCCCAACUUGUUUGUGGAUGGGGUCUUUGAGAGCACUCUGGAGGGCAGCCCUGAACUGAACUGUUUUCAGCCGGACCUGAAAUAGCCAACCUGAAAACCAGCACAAGUGAAGAUAGACUCCCACACAGGAACUAUCACAACUUUGCCUGGAACUGUUGAAGUUGGAGCAGGAGCGUGAACUGCUGAGGAAUAUUGACAGAGCUCUCAGGGAAGAAAAUAUUUUCUCGAGGAUUGGCAGAAAAUCUCUGGCACAGGACAACGAGAAAAUAGCAAGCUACCGAAGCUACCGGAUCAAUUAAUGCUGUGUGCUCACCAGCCCAGCUAUGAUGCUGAAUUUGUCAAGACUUUGAAAGUCUUCUAUUAAAGCAUGAACAAAGUGAAGGGGCAGUUACAGCAGCCGAGACAUUACAGAGCACUUGGGCCGGAGUUGGCUGUUCCGUUCCCCGACUCGUCACAAUGUCAGACAGACAGCACUUGGGUCAUCCUGCAGCAAGCGUUCACAGGUUCCUGAAACAGCUCCGCAUCCACACUUGCCUGCUGUGUGACUUUGGGAGGAUGACAAGCAGUUGCAUCUUUUUCCUGAAAGAUAGACACAUAUGCUCAAGAACUUUGAGGAACGACUAGACUCCAGGCUCUGGAAACCAAAAAACGAUGUUGCACUUAUAAGUCAAAAGAAGAGAGAAAAUUCAGUGCCUAACAAAUGCUCAAACUCUACCUGCUUAGCACAUCUUUGAAGGCUAAUAGGUUUUGCAUAACUCAGAAAGAUUUUCAAACCCCCUCAUAUUCAGUUUGUAAACCUGUCAUACUGAAUUGGGAACUGCCAAGUUCUGUGAAAGUAAUACAUUUUAAGUCUUAUGCCUUAAAUUUUUGUUUUGUUAACUGGAAAAUGCAAAUUAAGGGGCCUGGGUUUAUCUAAGCUCAGUGCUCCUAUGAGAUGGGAGACACGUUUAGGACUAUGAGCAAUAUGAGGCUUGGAAAUCAAGAUGAUGAUGAUCA